GAAAUGCGAUAAGUAAUGUGAAUUGCAGAAUUCAGUGAAUCAUCGAAUCUUUGAACGCAGCUUGUGCUCCUUGGUAUUCCUUGGAGCAUGCCUGUUUGAGUAUCAUGAAAUCUUCAAAGUAAAUCUUUUGUUAACUCAAUUGGUUUCUACUUUGGUAUUGGAGGUCUUUGCAGCUUCACACCUGCUCCUCUUUGUUCAUUAGCUGGAUCUCAGUGUUAUGCUUGGUUCCACUCGGCGUGAUAAGUUAUCUAUCGCUGAGGACACUGUAAAAGGUGGCCAAGGUAAAUGCAGAUGAACCGCUUCUAAUAGUCCAUUGACUUGGACAAUACUUUUAUGAUCUGAUCUCAAAUCAGGUAGGACUACCCGCUGAACUUAAGC
Molecule: unclassified non-coding RNA, 378 nt
Filed under: plant metagenome
Description: partial contains 5.8S ribosomal RNA, internal transcribed spacer 2, and large subunit ribosomal RNA
Rfam family: 5.8S ribosomal RNA (bases 1-105)
Source: RNAcentral